Molecule: ribosomal RNA, 658 nt
Filed under: uncultured bacterium
Lineage: Bacteria
Description: bacterial SSU rRNA
Rfam family: Bacterial small subunit ribosomal RNA
Source: RNAcentral
GUCGAACGGAACUGUUUUGAAAGAUUUCUUCGGAAUGAAUUUGAUUUAGUUUAGUGGCGGACGGGUGAGUAACGCGUGAGUAACCUGCCUUCAAGAGGGGGAUAACAUUCUGAAAAGAAUGCUAAUACCGCAUGACAUAUCGGAAUCACAUGGUUUUGAUAUCAAAGAUUUUAUCGCUUGAAGAUGGACUCGCGUCCGAUUAGUUAGUUGGUGAGGUAACGGCUCACCAAGACCGCGAUCGGUAGCCGGACUGAGAGGUUGAACGGCCACAUUGGGACUGAGACACGGCCCAGACUCCUACGGGAGGCAGCAGUGGGGGAUAUUGCGCAAUGGGGGCAACCCUGACGCAGCAACGCCGCGUGAAGGAUGAAGGUUUUCGGAUUGUAAACUUCUUUUAUUAAGGACGAAACUUGACGGUACUUAAUGAAUAAGCUCCGGCUAACUACGUGCCAGCAGCCGCGGUAAUACGUAGGGAGCAAGCGUUGUCCGGAUUUACUGGGUGUAAAGGGUGCGUAGGCGGCUUUGCAAGUCAGAUGUGAAAUCUAUGGGCUCAACCCAUAAACUGCAUUUGAAACUGUAGAGCUUGAGUGAAGUAGAGGCAGGCGGAAUUCCCCGUGUAGCGGUGAAAUGCGUAGAGAUGGGGAGGAACACCAGUGGC